RNAcentral lists this ribosomal RNA (492 nucleotides) under uncultured bacterium. RNAcentral describes it as "partial 16S ribosomal RNA". It matches the Rfam family "Bacterial small subunit ribosomal RNA", at positions 28 to 507 of the family's 1533-position model. The record is from RNAcentral.
GAUGAACGCUAGCUACAGGCUUAACACAUGCAAGUCGAGGGGAAACGACAUCGAAAGCUUGCUUUUGAUGGGCGUCGACCGGCGCACGGGUGAGUAACGCGUAUCCAACCUGCCCACCACUUGGGGAUAACCUUGCGAAAGUAAGACUAAUACCCAAUGACGUCUCUAGAAGACAUCUGAAAGAGAUUAAAGAUUUAUCGGUGAUGGAUGGGGAUACGUCUGAUUAGCUUGUUGGCGGGGUAACGGCCCACCAAGGCGACGAUCAGUAGGGGUUCUGAGAGGAAGGUCCCCCACAUUGGAACUGAGACACGGUCCAAACUCCUACGGGAGGCAGCAGUGAGGAAUAUUGGUCAAUGGACGAGAGUCUGAACCAGCCAAGUAGCGUGCAGGAUGACGGCCCUAUGGGUUGUAAACUGCUUUUAGAAGGGAAUAAAGUGAGUCUCGUGAGACUUUUUGCAUGUACCUUAUGAAUAAGGACCGGCUAAUUCCGUG